GAGGCUAGAAGUCCAAGAUCAAGAUCAGAGUUGUCUUCUGCUUGUGGGAUCUUAGUUCCCCGACCAGGGCUUGAACCCAGGUCCUCUGCAAUGGAAGCAUGGAGUCCUAACCACUGACUGCUAGGGAAGUUCCUAAUACUAACUUCUUAAUAGGCCUGCAAGCCCCGUACGUGCCCAGCUUCAAGACUGAAGAAAGAGCCCUGAGUCAGCAACAGAGACAUCAAUGGUUUCAUGGACGGGGGCGCUUACCUGUCUGAAGUGAGGUUCUGGAGCAACACCCUCCUCUGUGCAGCAGACGGUGAGCAAGACAUGGCGGGACGCUUCACAUCCCGGGAGGCGCGGGAGGUUAGCAGUUAUAGGGAGAAUUAAUUGGAGUCAGGUUGGCUCAUCAGUU
Long non-coding RNA from Lagenorhynchus albirostris (white-beaked dolphin), 394 nucleotides. RefSeq lists it as uncharacterized. The record is from RefSeq and is a predicted model, not a curated record. The transcript has 3 exons. Lineage: Eukaryota; Metazoa; Chordata; Mammalia; Artiodactyla; Delphinidae.